UAUCAGUCAGCAGAGCUCCGGAGUGGCUUGAGAGCCUCACCAAACUUGGACCCGACAUUACGCAGACUCUCGGCGGCCUCUCCCGCUGUCCUCGGUAAUUCCAGCUCAAAUAGCGUACUGUAUCUUAAAGUUGCUGCAGUUAAAAAGCUCUGAGUUGGAUCUCGGGAUCGACCUGACACUCCGCCGCGAGGCGAGCCACCGCCUCCAGCACCAGCCUCUCGGCCGCCCUGGGUAGAAGGCAUGUAGAUAUAUCCCCAUCAACGUACAAAAGAGGAAAUAAUGAUUGACCCGCCAUGAUAUUUACAUCAUCAGCCUUCGCGCUGUGACCUGGGAAUUAAAUGCCUGCUUCCACACAUGCCACGUCCCGGAUUUUCCAGGUUUUUUUUUUUUUCCUGUGACGCCAACAGUAGCUACACCAGUUUCACCAAUGAGACGUCGCAACAAUAAUCACGAGACAUCAUUAUACCAAUCAGACUCAAGCAUGCCGAUCUAUGAUCACGCUGGGCUGUUCAAUCACGUGGCGUCCUUCAAGCGCCAUAAAAAAUUAAGUGUGUGACAUAGAGCACUGCCAUCAACAUGACUCGAGUCAAAAGCAAAAAACGUUUCCCAGUUGUUAUUUGACACCAACUGACCACGGAAAACCGGAGAUAUGAUCCUUUUAAUUUCAUUAUGGGAACGAUGAAGGAGCUAUCCACUAUUCAACUUUUCAAACUAGGAACUAUUUUCCACUAGAGGGCACUGAUACUUUUUGAAAAAAUGAGGCUUUUACUCACAGACACUAACAUUAAUAACUCAGAAAAACUGGAGGGUAUUUUUCUUGUUUCAAGUGAAUGCAAUAUGCGUCCGUAGUAAAGCUGGAACGAAAAAAUAAGGAAAGGAGUGAAAGCAAAGGAAGAAACCUACAACAUAUUCAUGGAGGCGUCUGUAAAACAUCUGAGAAAAAUUUACAAAAGAAUAUUUACCCAUUUUACACAGUGA
Long non-coding RNA from Corythoichthys intestinalis (scribbled pipefish), 978 nucleotides. RefSeq lists it as uncharacterized. The record is from RefSeq and is a predicted model, not a curated record. Lineage: Eukaryota; Metazoa; Chordata; Actinopteri; Syngnathiformes; Syngnathidae. The transcript has 3 exons.